This 229-nucleotide ribosomal RNA is filed under the name uncultured organism. RNAcentral describes it as "partial 16S ribosomal RNA". It matches the Rfam family "Bacterial small subunit ribosomal RNA", at positions 670 to 896 of the family's 1533-position model. The record is from RNAcentral.
CACGUGUAGCGGUGAAAUGCGUAGAGAUGUGGAGGAACACCAGUGGCGAAGGCGGCUUUCUGGUCUGUAACUGACGCUGAGGCGCGAAAGCGUGGGGAGCAAACAGGAUUAGAUACCCUGGUAGUCCACGCCGUAAACGAUGAGUGCUAAGUGUUAGGGGGUUUCCGCCCCUUAGUGCUGCAGCUAACGCAUUAAGCACUCCGCCUGGGGAGUACGGCCGCAAAGGCUG